Molecule: long non-coding RNA, 3091 nt
Organism: Pungitius pungitius (ninespine stickleback)
Lineage: Eukaryota; Metazoa; Chordata; Actinopteri; Perciformes; Gasterosteidae
Exons: 5
Source: RefSeq, a predicted model, not a curated record
UUCCACAUAAAGAUGCAAACUCAGAAGAACAAGUAACAAGAAAGUACAAUUUUCAUCAAAUAAGCAGUUUCAAAACAUGUUAUAGAAAAGUGCCAUUAUAAGUACAGUUUAAGUGCUACCAUUUGUUAGUGCUACAGUUUGCUAGUGUUUUAGUCAAGGUAGAGUCUAAAUGGAUCCAUGUGUGUCUGUGCACAGUGUGCGUGAGAUUUUCAAAAAGGCUCCUUUCCCACCGGCAGAAAUGAUUCAAAUGUUGCAAGUAUUCAAAAACACGAUUGCCUGGGACAUAAGUGUUUCCUACUGAAAUUUCUUUUGCGCUUCUGAUUGGAAAACACAAACUUCUCUGAAGUGUAUUAAAGCUCCUUUACUCCCCAAGACGUUUAGUCCAAUCUUCCUACUCCUGAGUGACAUUUAUUUUACUUAGUUUUACAGAUGCAGGUCAACAUUUAAUUAUUCAUUAUUGAAGAAAUCUUUUUUUAAAUUGUUUUAAUUGUUUUUGAUGUCAUUGUUCUAAGCCUUAUAUGUGAAAUGUGAUGUAUAGAUAGAUUUCAAUUAUUUUUUUGGAUGUGAGACACCUCUUCCUUUCCUCUCUCUCGAUAUGGGGCAUCAUUUGGACAUCACUUGGCCUGCCGAGGUCACACACGCGACUAAAAGUACGUCACUUUUGAUGAAAGAUAAACCACAUGUAAUGUAAUAUAAUGGAUUAAACCACGUGUGUGUAAUGAUUUAAUCUACGGCUUACUGGGUGCGUUUGAUGAAAUCAUCUAAAUGGUGAUACUGCAAAACAAGAUCAUCUUUGUUUGUGAAGAAGCUCAGCCUGUAAGAUCAUAAAUCAAUUAUUGCCAUUAUAAAUCAUUUUUUGUGUAGCCAGUGAGGAAAUGUCCCUCCUGAGCUACUAUAGAUUCAGGUCAGCCUUGGCACCUCCUACUUCCUGGUUCACCAAUUAGACAGGCUGUAAAAGCUUCACGUAAUGAAGCUGUGUCAGCAUGCUUGUCCCUUUCGCUGUUGCACUCUGGCUUGAGAAUUCCGAGAGCAGCUCGUCAGGGCCCAGGUGCAGGAGGCUCAAAGUCCAGGCUGCGAUUGAGCGCUUGAGGCUCAACAGUGUGGCUACCCAGGUGGUGGUGAAGUAGAUGGCCCCAAAAAUGGAAACGGCAAUGCAAAAUGGAUUUUAAAAAAGCAAGGCGAACCCCUGACUGCGAUACACGGACCAAGAUUUUUGCUAUUCCCUUCUUUAAAUUUCAAUUCAAUUACUGAACUUCAGGAUUUGGGGAAUAUUAAGAUGCCAACCAGGUGUAACAUGUUUGACCUUCCUUUUGUGGAGUCACCCUGUUAGGUGAGGGGGCAAAGUAACCCUUCAUUUUUUUUAAUAUUGUAGUUUUUUUUUUUUUUUACUCAUUUCUGUUUGUUCCAUAUGCUUUGGGCAAGAAACGUAGUGGUGGAGUACAAAAACGUCAGAGACUUGGGUUAUUAACAACACUACCACAGGGACGCAGCUCUUAUCGCCAACGGAAAGCUUUUAAUGAUUUGAAUGGCUUGGUAGUCCAAAAUUAUGGUGCUGUAUGUUCUGUAGUGUAAAUUGCUUGAAUUGUAUGUGCGUACCCUGUAAAAAUGCACUGUAAAUGCACAUGUCUGUGGACAGUAAUUAAAACCGCUUUAAAGAACCGUCAUCUUGACUGAAAAUGAUUUUUGUUCCACAAUGACAAAUGGGAGUGUUCUAAAGAUUCAUUUUAAUGGAUAUUCAAAAUUGUACAAUGUAGUGCUGUUGGAAUAUUGACUCUGAAAUUCGAACACUUCAAUGUAACCCCCACCCUCUAUGUUAGGGCCUUGGUGUUAAAAUGUAUUCCUUUUUUACAAUUGUACUUUAAUUUUGACUGUAGAUUAAUAGUUAAUGUAUUCUGGAAUCUUGUAGGAACCACCUGCGAUUGCUGAUUAUGGGUGGUCGACCUCAAAUGACGGAACCAUCAAGGUUAAAGGAAGCUUAUGGAUCUUGGGUAGCAGAUGGGCGAGGCUUGGGCUCUUCAUCCAGGGUGGUCAAGAGAACAUAACGGGCUCCCUGAAGUCAAGCUAAUUCUGCCUCCUGUGAGAAGUGUCGAAAUGACCUCUGCCCUCCAGCUGACUUGGGGUUUUGGUGAGGUUAGUAUCUUUUCCUCAGUACUGUUUUGUAACACUUGUUGGGCAGGCUGUUUGAUGGCUCUAAUAACAUGUGCCUCUAACUGACUCCUCAGUACUGCCUUUGUUAUGCUUUCAGGCAAAGUACUGUUGUGUUCUCUGGAUGGUCCUACAUCAACCUAAACGGCUCGUGCUUCAGGGCCUCCAAGAAGUGGUCCAGCAGCUUCAGCCUCCUGUGGACUGAGCCGUUUGAGCAAAAGUUAAGACUUUUUUUUUUUUUCCCCCAGUCUUUUUGUCAUUAAAGUUGUGGCACAACUUUGAUUCUAUUGUAUGGCCCAAAGAACUAUUUUGGCUCUUUGCACUGUAACAUGAAAUAGUAAAUGGCAAAAAAUUGGUACACUAAAGUCAUUUCUGCUGAAUUUGUUGCCCAUACUGAAUGAAAAUUAGUAAAGAACUUUCUGCUGCGCAAAUUUAUGAAGCUAAUCAUUUCAAGAAACUUUUACUUGCAACGAUGAGGGAGGAGAAACUUCCCGAAGAUACUCCGCUGCACGUAUGCGCAUUUUACCGCCGCAGACGUGAUUUCCGUUGAGGCGGAUGCUAGAAGUGUGAAGAAAGCGCUGCUCAGUCCAGAAGGUAAGUUUCAGCUACCCUUGCACGAUAAAAUGUUAGUUGAUUUAGCAAACUUACUCUGCAAUUUGCCAGUCUUAACUGUUUGCGGUGAACUUGUUUUUAAAGUCUAGCUUGAAUGUUAACGGCUAGACUGUCACACAUGGAAUCCUCUAAAAUAACAUUAAAUAUAAAUUGCCUUUCAGCAAACUGCAUGCUUAAUAGCAGGUUCAAUGAUAUUUGUCAAUCUUCCAGCUAACGCUUGAAUUCGGUAUAAAUGGUUUUUAUUUUUGUCUAUGGUAGUGUAACGCAUGAUUUUGAAAGGAGCAACCUCAUCAGGAAAUAUUCCCAGUUAUCAGUUUAGCAAUUUAGUAACCUU